This 207-nucleotide ribosomal RNA is filed under the name uncultured bacterium. RNAcentral's name for it is "partial 16S ribosomal RNA". It matches the Rfam family "Bacterial small subunit ribosomal RNA", at positions 568 to 774 of the family's 1533-position model. The record is from RNAcentral.
CGCGUAGGUGGUUUGGUAAGUCAGAUGUGAAAGCCCCGGGCUCAACCUGGGAAUUGCUUCUGAUACUGCUGGACUAGAGUGCAGUAGAGGGCAGUGGAAUUUCCGGUGUAGCGGUGAAAUGCGUAGAUAUCGGAAGGAGCACCAGUGGCGAAGGCGACUGCCUGGACUGAUACUGACACUGAGGUGCGAAAGCGUGGGUAGCAAACA